CUUUAUCAGCUGGGCUUCUCCUAGUUUUGUGAAGGGUGUUUUGGUUCUUUCCUUAUUUCGUUUGUUUGUUAUUUUGUUUGUUUGUUUUUUUCUUUUGAGGCUGUUCGCUUGCUUUGGAGGGGAUUUUGCUUGCUUAAAUCGGCAGCCUUAUGUGUUUUCCCCCAACAGUGAAAAUACAAUUUAAAAAUUUUUAUUAACCAGAUCAAAUAUUUACCAUUGCAAUAUGAAGGAAACUCAACAGUUCAAAAAAAUUGCAACUUAUCACUGGCAAGUGGCUGAGUGUCUACUCUAAAAUAACAAGCUGUCUGGACUGUCCUCUUGAAAUACACAACGUCUUCGGUCUUUUCAAACAAACGUUAAAAUCAAUCCGUUUCCGUACCUCAGCAGAUGAGCAAUUCCCUCUUAUGGCCAGCAAUGGUAGAGUUUAAAACUUCCCAGUUGAGAAAGUAAACUUUGAAUACAAAGAAUUCUGUAAAUUCAGAUUUAAAUGUUGUAUAUAUACAAUUUAUAGUGUUGCCAUAUUACCUGACCGUUGACCCUGCAGGUAACUCACGUAGUGCUCCACCUACACGAGGGCCCCCGCCAUCUUAUGGUGGAAGCAGUCGCUAUGAUGAUUACAGCAGCUCACGUGACGGAUAUGGUGGAAGUCGAGACAGUUACACAAGCAGCCGAAGUGAUCUCUACUCAAGUGGUCGUGAUCGCGUGGGCAGACAAGAACGAGGGCUUCCCCCUUCUAUGGAAAGGGGGUACCCUCCUCCACGUGAUUCCUACAGCAGUUCAAGCCGCGGAGCACCAAGAGGUGGUGGCCGUGGAGGAAGCCGAUCUGAUAGAGGGGGCAGAAGCAGAUACUAGGAACAAACAAAACUUUUGGACCAACAAUCCCCAUUCAAAGAAACAAACAAAAAAAUGGAAACUUUCUGUCAUAAACUACCCAAGGACUACUAAAGGAAAAAUUGUGUUACCUUUUUAAAAUUUCCUGUUCCCCUUAAUAAUUUUUAUGUUCUUGUGAGGGAAAAAGUAAGACAUGUUUAAUUUUAUUUGCUAUUAUGAGUUGCUUUCAACAAGCAAAUGUUAGAUGUGUAAGCCGUGACUUGUUACUAGUGUUGUAAUUUUCCAAGUAAAAGUGUCCCUGAAGGCCACUUCCUGAUUUUUCCCAGCAAAUGAGGCAAGCAACCCCAAGAUCUUCCACAAACAUUUAGCCAUCUAGAUGUCCUUUGGUCUCCAUUGAGAGUUGAAUCACCCUGCCUGUGCAGACAAGCUAGCCAUUAGAGAGGGUUGGUGGGGUGUGAGGAUUUCAGGGUGUCUUCCAACUGAAAUCUCAAUGUUCGCAGUAUAUAUAUAUUCAAACAAACAAACCAAGCUGAGAUCAGAUGCCUAGGCAUGUACUAUUUACCCAGAAACCCCCCCCCCUCAAAAAAAGCAAAUGGAUGCUGGCCAUAUUUUGCUUUUCUGACCUUUCCUUGGGAAUCUACAAGAACCUCCCUUCCCCCUCCCCGAGUAAGACCAUUUAAGUGUGUGUUAAACAACUACAAAAUACUAAAUAAAAAGUUUGGCCAAAAUCAACCAUGAAGCUGCAAAAACGAUGCUUGCUCUUACUGUUUCAAAUGUUUGCAACUCUGUAGUGUCUCACUUUUAAAGGAACAGCUUGAUUGCAAAGGAGAAAAUAGAUAAGCAAUGAAGUUAUCUCCAACCUCCUAAAGGCUUAUGACUUCUAAAAAGUGAAUCUAUCAGCAUUCCACAUCAGAUUUAAAGCACCAAAUGCCUGUGAAACAGCAAAGAUGGUUGAACCUAAUGGUCAUACAGUCAUGGAGUGCUGAUUGAUUCACAGUAGAUAAAGCUGGCAGUAAGAGACAGUCAAAUGAUCAGAGUUGUCUUUGAAGCAGAGGAAUGCUGAGACUAAGCCACAGCACUUACUGACCCAGUACUCAUCAGAAUUGGUUUGGUACAGGCAAUAGAUUUUUUUGUCUUCAAGGGAGGGAGGCUGGUUAAACCUUAAUUCAAAUUAACCCAUUAGAAAAAGGGAGACUAGUCGGUAAGUGGAAGUACCUGUCCAAGACGUUCGGGUGACUUUUUAUAGACAGUUCAGUAGUUCGGACAAACUGAUGGGGCAGCUGGGCAAUUUAGACUGCUCAAUGACUAGAAGAAAAUUGAAUUAGCUGCGACUGUAACUCCAUGGUGGAGUGCUUGCCUAAGUACCAGUGAGGACUAGAGUUCAACCCCUGGCGGCACACAGACACAUUUCAAUCAGAAAAGUUAUACCUCAGUGGUAACUUUAUUCACUG
RNAcentral lists this long non-coding RNA (2282 nucleotides) under Rattus norvegicus (Norway rat). RNAcentral describes it as "long non-coding RNA NONRATT031332". The record is from RNAcentral. Lineage: Eukaryota; Metazoa; Chordata; Mammalia; Rodentia; Muridae.